AAACCGGAGGAAGGUGGGGACGACGUCAAGUCAUCAUGGCCCUUACGAGUAGGGCUACACACGUGCUACAAUGGCGCAUACAGAGGGCGGCCAACUUGCGAAAGUGAGCGAAUCCCAAAAAGUGCGUCGUAGUCCGGAUUGGAGUCUGCAACUCGACUCCAUGAAGUCGGAAUCGCUAGUAAUCGUGGAUCAGAAUGCCACGGUGAAUACGUUCCCGGGCCUUGUACACACCG
Molecule: ribosomal RNA, 233 nt
Filed under: Vibrio sp. HR11-32
Lineage: Bacteria; Pseudomonadati; Pseudomonadota; Gammaproteobacteria; Vibrionales; Vibrionaceae
Description: partial 16S ribosomal RNA
Rfam family: Bacterial small subunit ribosomal RNA
Source: RNAcentral